RNAcentral lists this non-coding RNA (29 nucleotides) under Homo sapiens (human). The record is from RNAcentral. Lineage: Eukaryota; Metazoa; Chordata; Mammalia; Primates; Hominidae.
UGAGUGAAUGAGUGAUCCAGCGAAAAAAA